This 220-nucleotide ribosomal RNA is filed under the name uncultured bacterium. RNAcentral describes it as "partial 16S ribosomal RNA". It matches the Rfam family "Bacterial small subunit ribosomal RNA", at positions 32 to 261 of the family's 1533-position model. The record is from RNAcentral.
AAUCAACGCUGGCGGCGUGCCUAACACAUGCAAGUCGAACGGGAAAACAGGGGCAACUCUGUGAGUACAGUGGCGUACGGGUGAGUAACACGUGACUACCUACCCUCGAGUGGGGGAUAACCCCGGGAAACCGGGGCGUAAUACGCAUAACAUCGAGAGAUCAAAGGAGAAAUCCGCUUGAGGAGGGGGUCGCGGCUGAUUAGCUAGUUGGUGAGGUAAU